This is a long non-coding RNA of Symsagittifera roscoffensis, 306 nucleotides long. RefSeq lists it as uncharacterized. The record is from RefSeq and is a predicted model, not a curated record. The transcript has 3 exons. NCBI's taxonomy places the organism in Eukaryota, Metazoa, Xenacoelomorpha, Acoela, Convolutidae.
GACAAGUUUCUUAAAGUGUUGUUAACAUAUUAUUUCAUUCCAGCUAAUUUUUAUUCUUUGUUUUUCACGGAUUAAAUUUACUUCGGACUUCAGCUCCAAAUGUCCACCGGAAAAUCACACAGCGAUUUACAGUCGCGCUUCGCGAAAAUCCCCCGGCCUCAGAUUGAUUUGCCACUUACUCCGCCGCCCUUCAAUUUCAUGAUUGAAAUGGCUACCGAAAAUCACAUUCAGGGCAUCUACAACAUUCUCACCUGUUCUUUUCUGCCCUCGGACCCUGUGUUCGCCAGUCUGAUGCAGAGAGGAGAG